AGUUUGAUCCUGGCUCAGGAUGAACGCUAGCUACAGGCUUAACACAUGCAAGUCGAGGGGCAGCAUGAACUUAGCUUGCUAAGUUUGAUGGCGACCGGCGCACGGGUGAGUAACACGUAUCCAACCUGCCGAUGACUCGGGGAUAGCCUUUCGAAAGAAAGAUUAAUACCCGAUGGCAUAGUUCUUCCGCAUGGUGGAACUAUUAAAGAAUUUCGGUCAUCGAUGGGGAUGCGUUCCAUUAGGUUGUUGGCGGGGUAACGGCCCACCAAGCCUUCGAUGGAUAGGGGUUCUGAGAGGAAGGUCCCCCACAUUGGAACUGAGACACGGUCCAAACUCCUACGGGAGGCAGCAGUGAGGAAUAUUGGUCAAUGGACGAGAGUCUGAACCAGCCAAGUAGCGUGAAGGAUGACUGCCCUAUGGGUUGUAAACUUCUUUUAUHACGGGAAUAAAGUGAGGCACGUGUGCCUUUUUGUAUGUACCGUAUGAAUAAGGAUCGGCUAACUCCGUGCCAGCAGCCGCGGUAAUACGGAGGAUCCGAGCGUUAUCCGGAUUUAUUGGGUUUAAAGGGAGCGUAGGCGGACGCUUAAGUCAGUUGUGAAAGUUUGCGGCUCAACCGUAAAAUUGCAGUUGAUACUGGGUGUCUUGAGUACAGUAGAGGCAGGCGGAAUUCGUGGUGUAGCGGUGAAAUGCUUAGAUAUCACGAAGAACUCCGAUUGCGAAGGCAGCCUGCUGGACUGUAACUGACGCUGAUGCUCGAAAGUGUGGGUAUCAAACAGGAUUAGAUACCCUGGUAGUCCACACAGUAAACGAUGAAUACUCGCUGUUUGCGAUAUACAGUAAGCGGCCAAGCGAAAGCGUUAAGUAUUCCACCUGGGGAGUACGCCGGCAACGGUGAAACUCAAAGGAAUUGACGGGGGCCCGCACAAGCGGAGGAACAUGUGGUUUAAUUCGAUGAUACGCGAGGAACCUUACCCGGGCUUGAAUUGCAACUGAAUGAUGUGGAGACAUGUCAGCCGCAAGGCAGUUGUGAAGGUGCUGCAUGGUUGUCGUCAGCUCGUGCCGUGAGGUGUCGGCUUAAGUGCCAUAACGAGCGCAACCCUUAUCGAUAGUUACCAUCAGGUUAUGCUGGGGACUCUGUCGAGACUGCCGUCGUAAGAUGUGAGGAAGGUGG
RNAcentral lists this ribosomal RNA (1171 nucleotides) under uncultured Bacteroides sp. RNAcentral's name for it is "bacterial SSU rRNA". It matches the Rfam family "Bacterial small subunit ribosomal RNA", at positions 10 to 1176 of the family's 1533-position model. The record is from RNAcentral. Lineage: Bacteria; Pseudomonadati; Bacteroidota; Bacteroidia; Bacteroidales; Bacteroidaceae.